Long non-coding RNA from Macaca fascicularis (crab-eating macaque), 1994 nucleotides. The record is from Ensembl. Lineage: Eukaryota; Metazoa; Chordata; Mammalia; Primates; Cercopithecidae.
GGGUUUUGCCAUGUUGGCUAGGCUGGUCUUGAACUCCUGACUUUAUGAUUUGCCUGCCUCGGCUUCCCAAACACUUAGGGAGGCCAAGGCAGGCGGAUCACGAGGUCAGGAGAUCGAGACCAUCCUGGCUAACACGGUGAAACCCCGUCUCUACUAAAAAUACAAAAAAUUAGCCGGGCAUGGUGGGCGCCUGUAGUCCCAGCUUCUAGGGAGGCUGAGGCAGGAGAAUGGCGUGAAGUCAGGAGACAGAGCUUGCAGUGAGCCGAGAUCAUACCCCUGCACUCCAGGAAGGGUGACAGAGCGAGAUUCUGUCUCAAAAAAAAAAAAAAAGGAACAUCCUCACUUUUUUAAUGCGAAACCACUCUCUGCUCCCAAGUUAAUCCCUGUUUGGGCCUGUGGGAGCUUACACCAUCCUCCUACAGGUAAUUAAUAACUGAUGUCUGGCUUAUCUGUUUAGUAAUAGAUGUUAUGUGUUUAACAGUGCCAGUAAACGUAGGGUGCUAAUUCCUUCCUCACCAGUGGGGUGCAUGAGACGCUAUUGAAACCAUUGGCAACGCAACACAAAAUGAAUGGACCAGCCCUCAUACAGGACACCUGCUCAACUUGACCUACCUGAUGUCGGCUGACAGUUCCGAAACACAUCAGCAGUCACCUGGGUCAGAACCGUGAGCUGACGAUGGGCCUUCCCUUUGUUCUGCACAGUGUUUUGUGGUCUUCAGCUGUUGUCAUCUUCUCCCACACUAAACUGCUGUCAUCUCCUAGACAUGAAUGUUUAAUUGCACCCCAGCAUGACAUUUGGCCUGUGCUUAGCGGGCAGUUUUGAGGCCCUGGCUUAUUAAUGCACAAAAGCACAGCACAUAAGCUGACACUUAUGUCCUAAUUAGCAAGAAUCAGGCUGUAUCUCUAGUCCCUGCACCUACUCUGGUCACCAUCUCUGUAUGCUUAGGGCAGCCAUGUGAACAUUAUUAAUUAUUGUACACUCCAAGACAAUAGUUAUUAUGUAGGCAGAAGUAGUGGCCUUGUUUGUUUCUUGUGCUGCUGCUCCCCUUGCUUCUGUCCCAUACACCCUCCUGAUGAGGUGUACAUCUAUGGUGCCUCACGGUUCAGGCACUGAUGAGUAAAGACAAUGGGAAGAAAGAGUUUGCUAUUAGCCCCUACCGAAGCAUAUGAAGAAGCAUCUCAGCUGGUUUCAUUGAAAAAUUCCUAGCCAGUGUGUGGGCUUUUCUUAUCACUGCUGCUUAUCAGCAUGUCAAAAGUCAAAUCUUCGGACUGCAAGUCUUGCCGGCCUUAGACAUAAUGGCCUUACUGCAUGUGGAGCUAACCCCAGGAAGAUGGAGUGACACUCUUUGGAGGAUUAGGUGGUCUUCUCCAAUGUGGCUUGAUGGGCUCCUGAACUCUUUCCUUUAACCGUGCAGAGAGUCCACACUGCCAGUGAUCAUGUGCCACAACUCUAUAGAUGUAGAAACUCAAAAUAUUCAAAACAUUCUGAAACAGUUUCCAUUGAAAGGGAAGAGAAAAGCAGUCAGGUGCCACUCUCCGGUCAAGAGAACUAGUAGAUGGCUCACAAGAACACUCUGUCGCUACUGUCUGUGCCUCUGUCACCACAAUAUCCUGAUCCUUCAGUUUUAAGGGUGUAGGGCCAUUUUCCUCCCUUUCUUACUGGUAGUUCUCAAGAUAACUGUAUGAUAUGCUGGGAAGGCAAUAUCCUGAUAAUCAGGUGACAUUGGUCAGAACAGCCCAGGCUCUGUUAUAGUCCCUGCUCGAAACAAUGGCCUUUAACGCUUGUGUCCAGCAAACCACAUCCUGGGAGAAAACCCAAGGUGGGCUGCUUUCUGGGGUCCCUCAGUUGUAGUGCAAGUGAAGCAUUUACAGUCAAAACUCCAUCCAUCUGCUCUGGGUAGCCUUCCUGAUCUUGUGGUAGCGGUUCAUAUUGAAUCCUAGACCUCUGUUGUCUUUUGUUUGCUAUUUGUAAGUAAUAAAUUCACUUCAUGGGA